Molecule: ribosomal RNA, 396 nt
Filed under: uncultured bacterium
Lineage: Bacteria
Description: partial 16S ribosomal RNA
Rfam family: Bacterial small subunit ribosomal RNA
Source: RNAcentral
AUACGUAGGGAGCGAGCGUUGUCCGGAAUUACUGGGUGUAAAGGGAGCGUAGGCGGGAUGGCAAGUCAGAUGUGAAAACUAUGGGCUCAACCCAUAGACUGCAUUUGAAACUGUUGUUCUUGAGUGAAGUAGAGGUAAGCGGAAUUCCUGGUGUAGCGGUGAAAUGCGUAGAUAUCAGGAGGAACAUCGGUGGCGAAGGCGGCUUCCUGGGCUUUUACUGACGCUGAGGCUCGAAAGCGGAGGGAACGAACAGGAGUAGAUACCCUGGUAGUCCACGCUAUAAACGAUGAUUACUAGGUGUGGGGGGACUGACCCCUUCCGUGCCGCAGUUAACACAAUAAGUAAUCCGCCUGGGGAGUACGGCCGCAAGGUUGAAACUCAAAGGAAUUGGCGGGG